GAACGACGCUGGCGGCAGGCCUAACACAUGCAAGUCGAGCGAGGUAGCAAUACCUAGCGGCGGACGGGUGAGUAACGCGUGGGAACGUACCCUUUGCUACGGAAUAGCCCCGGGAAACUGGGAGUAAUACCGUAUGUGCCCUUCGGGGGAAAGAUUUAUCGGCAAAGGAUCGGCCCGCGUUGGAUUAGGUAGUUGGUGGGGUAAUGGCCUACCAAGCCGACGAUCCAUAGCUGGUUUGAGAGGAUGAUCAGCCACACUGGGACUGAGACACGGCCCAGACUCCUACGGGAGGCAGCAGUGGGGAAUCUUAGACAAUGGGCGCAAGCCUGAUCUAGCCAUGCCGCGUGAGUGAUGAAGGCCUUAGGGUUGUAAAGCUCUUUCAGAUGGGAAGAUAAUGACGGUACCAUCAGAAGAAGCCCCGGCUAACUCCGUG
RNAcentral lists this ribosomal RNA (433 nucleotides) under uncultured bacterium. RNAcentral's name for it is "bacterial SSU rRNA". It matches the Rfam family "Bacterial small subunit ribosomal RNA", at positions 33 to 507 of the family's 1533-position model. The record is from RNAcentral.